RNAcentral lists this ribosomal RNA (252 nucleotides) under uncultured bacterium. RNAcentral's name for it is "partial 16S ribosomal RNA". It matches the Rfam family "Bacterial small subunit ribosomal RNA", at positions 524 to 775 of the family's 1533-position model. The record is from RNAcentral.
UACAGGGGGUGCUAGCGUUGUUCGGAAUUACUGGGCGUAAAGGGCGCGUAGGCGGUCUUGUAAGUCAGGAGUGAAAUCCCGGAGCUUAACUUCGGAAUUGCUUUUGAAACUACAAGGCUAGAGUGAGUUAGAGGAUGGCGGAAUUCCUAGUGUAGUGGUGAAAUACGUAGAUAUUAGGAAGAACACCGGUGGCGAAGGCGGCCAUCUGGGACUCAACUGACGCUGAGGCGCGAAAGCGUGGGGAUCAAACAG